UACGUAGGGGGCAAGCGUUGUCCGGAUUUAUUGGGCGUAAAGAGCGUGUAGGCGGCUUUACAGGUCCGUUGUGAAAACUCGAGGCUCAACCUCGAGACGCCGGUGGAAACCGUAAGGCUAGAGUCCGGAAGAGGAGAGUGGAAUUCCUGGUGUAGCGGUGAAAUGCGCAGAUAUCAGGAAGAACACCAGUGGCGAAGGCGGCUCACUGGUCCGGUACUGACGCUGAGGUGCGAAAGCGUGGGGAGCAAACAGG
RNAcentral lists this ribosomal RNA (253 nucleotides) under uncultured bacterium. Its description in RNAcentral is "partial 16S ribosomal RNA". It matches the Rfam family "Bacterial small subunit ribosomal RNA", at positions 524 to 776 of the family's 1533-position model. The record is from RNAcentral.